RNAcentral lists this ribosomal RNA (444 nucleotides) under uncultured bacterium. RNAcentral describes it as "SSU rRNA". It matches the Rfam family "Bacterial small subunit ribosomal RNA", at positions 26 to 518 of the family's 1533-position model. The record is from RNAcentral.
AGAGCGAACGCUGGCGGCAGGCCUAACACAUGCAAGUCGAGCGCGUGUAGCAAUACACGAGCGGCAGACGGGAGAGUAACACGUGGGAACGCGCCCUUCGGUUCGGAAUAACUCAGGGAAACUUGAGCUAAUACCGGAUACGCCCUUACGGGGAAAGAUUUAUUGCCGAAGGAACGGCCCGCGUCCGAUUAGCUAGUUGGUGAGGUAACGGCUCACCAAGGCGACGAUCGGUAGCUGGUCUGAGAGGAUGACCAGCCUCACUGGGACUGAGACACGGCCCAGACUCCUACGGGAGGCAGCAGUGGGAAUAUGGACAAUGGGCGCAAGCCUGAUCCAGCCAUGCCGCGUGGAUGAUGAAGGCCUUAGGGUUGUAAAGUCCUUUUAACGGGGAAGAUAAUGACGGUACCGUAGAAUAAGCCCGGCUAACUUCGUGCCAGCAGCCGC